Molecule: ribosomal RNA, 253 nt
Filed under: uncultured bacterium
Lineage: Bacteria
Description: partial 16S ribosomal RNA
Rfam family: Bacterial small subunit ribosomal RNA
Source: RNAcentral
UACGUAGGGGGCAAGCGUUAUCCGGAUUUACUGGGUGUAAAGGGAGCGUAGACGGCAAUGCAAGUCUGGAGUGAAAGGCGGGGGCCCAACCCCCGGACUGCUCUGGAAACUGUAUAGCUGGAGUGCAGGAGAGGUAAGUGGAAUUCCUAGUGUAGCGGUGAAAUGCAUAGAUAUCACGCAGAACUCCGAUUGCGAAGGCAGCGUACCGGCAUCCAACUGACGCUGAGGCACGAAAGCGUGGGGAUCAAACAGG